This is a long non-coding RNA of Oncorhynchus kisutch (coho salmon), 718 nucleotides long. RefSeq lists it as uncharacterized. The record is from RefSeq and is a predicted model, not a curated record. NCBI's taxonomy places the organism in Eukaryota, Metazoa, Chordata, Actinopteri, Salmoniformes, Salmonidae. The transcript has 3 exons.
GUGUUUGUAGCCAGCACUGUCAGCCAGAGGAUUUCAAAACAGAUGGGGCUGUCUCAACUGAUGUCGUUGAAUGUUGAAAGGUGAUGCUAUUCCAUAGACUUUUCCCUUCACUUCAAAGAGGAAGGCAUCAGAGCAGCAGAAAAUAAGUCAAGCUGAGGGUCCAAACAUUGCCCUCCCUAGACUACGGAGGUCCCAACGGGUUGUCAACCUAAAUCCGGAAGAGCGCGCAGGUUCAGUUUCUUAUUCCCCUAGGACAAAGACGGGCAGCACCCUCUGUUGGACUGGUGUUAGUGAACGAGACCAGGCCUACUGAGAAGACACCCCAGUAUAAGCGAAGGAGACGGAACAGGACCAGGGUGUGUCCUCCUCCGCUCUCAUAUGGUAUACCUACAGCACAUUCAAGGCAAGGCAAGGACAGAGAGAGUCCAGCUCACCUGCCGCUCCACAGUCACAGUCAGUGGACACGAAUGGACAUCAACCUACUAUGAGUAACGGCCCAGCUCCAGGCUAACACUGAGCUGCAGCUAGACUGGCAUAUUCAACACCUUAUUCUGUCAGUGGACAACAGAACAACACCUUGAGCGAACUCCCAGUAAUCAGAACUGAAAUAGAGGAUAUAUCUCAAUUUAAAGCAAUGUACAGUUGAAGUGGGAAGUUUACAUACAUUUUAGCCAAAUACAUUUAAACUCAAUUUUUCACCAUUCCUGACAUUUAAUCA